This 114-nucleotide ribosomal RNA is filed under the name Acanthosepion pharaonis. The record is from RNAcentral. Lineage: Eukaryota; Metazoa; Mollusca; Cephalopoda; Sepiida; Sepiidae.
UUAUGGCCAUAUCACGUUGAAACACCAGUUCUUGUACAAUCACCAAAGUUAAGCAACUUCGAGCUUGGUCAGUGCCUAAAUGAGUGACCACUUGGGAAUACCAGAUGCUGUAAG